UUCUUACUAGCUCAAUGGCAGAGCAGAAUACUUCUAAUAUUUUGAUCCAAGUUCGACCCUUGGUAAGAAU
RNAcentral lists this transfer RNA (70 nucleotides) under Penicillium chrysogenum. RNAcentral's name for it is "tRNA-Arg". It matches the Rfam family "tRNA". From Rfam's summary of the family: Transfer RNA (tRNA) molecules are approximately 80 nucleotides in length. Their secondary structure includes four short double-helical elements and three loops (D, anti-codon, and T loops). Lineage: Eukaryota; Fungi; Ascomycota; Eurotiomycetes; Eurotiales; Aspergillaceae. The record is from RNAcentral.